This 1654-nucleotide long non-coding RNA is filed under the name Sus scrofa (pig). RNAcentral's name for it is "lncRNA (ENSSSCG00015070384.1)". Lineage: Eukaryota; Metazoa; Chordata; Mammalia; Artiodactyla; Suidae. The record is from RNAcentral.
AUGGUUUCCACUAUGAUAACCACAAAUUUGACUUUGAAAUCUGAAGCACUAACUGUUUGCCAGAGAGCAAGAGGAGAAGUUGGUGUGGUCCAUACAGGUCAGCCUCUUUGCAGGGGCUGGAAGAAUGAAUGGAGGAUGCAGAGAAGCCAGCAAACAAGGUACCUGCCACACGUACUGUUUACAACAGCUGCGCCUAAUUUAAAGCAACAAAACUUCAAAGAAAGGAAAGAACAUCUUCUGGAAACAUCAGGAUGAUCUGACUCCAGGCACUGACACCAUCAUCCAUCAGAAGUCAUGACCUGUGAUUUGAGGGUAUGAAUUAGAUCGUAGAUUCUCAAGAGAAUUGAUGCCCUUUGGCAACUGUAAAAUGAAGAACUCUGUAUCAUUUUGUUGAGGAUGAGUGAUGUAGUUUUUUGUUUUUGUUUUUUAAUACGAUGGCUUUAAGUGAAGACAGGGCCACACAAAUUGCAUGACUAACUCCUCUCAAAAGUUAGAUAUCUUUUGCAGCCUACUCACUGAAGUCAUUUACAGUUCUUAAUACCAGCAAAGUGGAUAUAAUUGCACAGUGGGAUUUAUUCUAGAUGAAUCAGGAUAUGGGGGAGAAAAAUGGACACAUUAAGAAGAAAAAUUAAAUUGAGCACUUAAAAUAAUUGACCAAAGAAAAUGGUCAAUGUAUGUUUUAUCUUUUCUUCCUUUAAAAAUACAUGUUGUAUGGAAAUUGUGAUGAGGGGAAAAAAAAAAAAAAAAAAGAAAAAACCCACACACAAUUAAAAGGGACAGGUACCUGACUGGGUUUUCCCAUCUCUUCCCCCAAAUGUCCAGCUCACAGGAACUCCUAUGGUCCACCUCUGUGUAGAGAUGAAAAUCUUUCCUUUCCAGAGUCAAAGUCAGCUCUCUGAAUGUUUAUAGCCUAAAAUUAGUGUCUGUGAAGCUGGUAAGACUGUUGCUUUGAACAUUGGUGUUUUAGGCAGUUUCCAGGUAACACUGAAAUGACCGUUUCUUAGCACUUGCCAGACCUAUGAACAAUUGUUAAAAUCUAAAUUAAACCCAUAUUAAACUGACUUUUUUUUUUGACAUCAAAGUGAUGCCAAGAUACCUGAUAUGAUACCCAGAGUGAGUAUGGAAAAGAGGGACUCUCACUAUGCUUUUGGGAAAAGUGUAAAUUGACACAACUUUUUCAAACAAACUUGAUAAAAUGUACUUCCAAGUCUUAAAGCAGUCAUUUAUUUAAUCAAGAGUAUUUAUUGAGUGUCUUCUAUAUCAUGGGCUGGCAAUUAUAUUCUAUCAGUGAGUGAAUAGACAUUACACAGAUAAUUACAAGUGCAAUGACCCCCAUGAAAGGAAAGUCAAAAGGACCUGAGAGAGAGGCAUCAGUCCUGCGAAAGUAAUUAGUCUACAGGGAGUUCCCGUCGUGGCGCAGUGGUUAACGAAUCCGACUAGGAACCAUGAGGUUGCGGGUUCGGUCCCUGCCCUUGCUCAGUGGGUUAAUGAUCCGGUGUUGCCAUGAGCUGUGGUGUAGGUUGCAUACGAGGCUCGUAUCCCGCGUGGCUGUGGCUCUGGCAUAGGCUGGUGGCUACAGCUCCGAUUCGACCCCUAGCCUGGGAACCUCCAUAUGCCGCGGGAGCGGCCCAAGAAAUAGCAACGACAACAACAA